Molecule: ribosomal RNA, 492 nt
Filed under: uncultured bacterium
Lineage: Bacteria
Description: partial 16S ribosomal RNA
Rfam family: Bacterial small subunit ribosomal RNA
Source: RNAcentral
AGUGAACGCUGGCGGUAGGCCUAACACAUGCAAGUCGAACGGCAGCACAGUAAGAGCUUGCUCUUACGGGUGGCGAGUGGCGGACGGGUGAGGAAUACAUCGGAAUCUACUUUUUCGUGGGGGAUAACGUAGGGAAACUUACGCUAAUACCGCAUACGACCUACGGGUGGAAGCAGGGGAUCUUCGGACCUUGCGCGAUUGAAUGAGCCGAUGUCGGAUUAGCUAGUUGGCGGGGUAAAGGCCCACCAAGGCGACGAUCCGUAGCUGGUCUGAGAGGAUGAUCAGCCACACUGGAACUGAGACACGGUCCAGACUCCUACGGGAGGCAGCAGUGGGGAAUAUGAGACAAUGGGCGCAAGCCUGAUCCAGCCAGACCGCGUGGGUGAAGAAGGCCUUCGGGUUGUAAAGCCCUUUUGUUGGGAAAGAAAAGCAGCAGGUUAAUACCCCGCUGUUCUGACGGUACCCAAAGAAUAAGCACCGGCUAACUUCGUG